GACGAACGCUGGCGGCGUGCUUAACACAUGCAAGUCGAACGGAAAGGCCCUGCUCUUGUGGGGUGCUCGAGUGGCGAACGGGUGAGUAACACGUGAGUAACCUGCCCUUGACUUUGGGAUAACUUUAGGAAACUGGGGCUAAUACCGGAUAGGAGCUCCUGCUGCAUGGUGGGGGUUGGUAAGUUUCGGCGGUUGGGGCUGGACUCGCGGCUUAUCCGCUUGUUGGUGGGGUAGUGGCUUACCAAGGCUUUGACGGGUAGCCCGCCUUGGAGGGUGACCGGCGACAAUGGGACUGAGGGACGGCCCAGAAGCCUACGGGAGGCAGCAGUGGGGAAUAUGACGCAAUGGGCGGAAGCCUGAUGCAGCAACGCCGCGUGCGGAAUGACGGCCUUCGGGUUGUAAACCGCUGUCUCAGGUGACGAAGCGGUAGUGACGGUAAUGGGUAAAGAAGCACCGGCUAACUACGUG
Molecule: ribosomal RNA, 468 nt
Filed under: uncultured bacterium
Lineage: Bacteria
Description: partial 16S ribosomal RNA
Rfam family: Bacterial small subunit ribosomal RNA
Source: RNAcentral